RNAcentral lists this ribosomal RNA (466 nucleotides) under Escherichia coli. RNAcentral describes it as "bacterial SSU rRNA". It matches the Rfam family "Bacterial small subunit ribosomal RNA", at positions 1 to 461 of the family's 1533-position model. The record is from RNAcentral. Lineage: Bacteria; Pseudomonadati; Pseudomonadota; Gammaproteobacteria; Enterobacterales; Enterobacteriaceae.
UUAAAUUGAAGAGUUUGAUCAUGGCUCAGAUUGAACGCUGGCGGCAGGCCUAACACAUGCAAGUCGAACGGUAACAGGAAGCAGCUUGCUGCUUCGCUGACGAGUGGCGGACGGGUGAGUAAUGUCUGGGAAACUGCCUGAUGGAGGGGGAUAACUACUGGAAACGGUAGCUAAUACCGCAUAACGUCGCAAGACCAAAGAGGGGGACCUUCGGGCCUCUUGCCAUCGGAUGUGCCCAGAUGGGAUUAGCUAGUAGGUGGGGUAACGGCUCACCUAGGCGACGAUCCCUAGCUGGUCUGAGAGGAUGACCAGCCACACUGGAACUGAGACACGGUCCAGACUCCUACGGGAGGCAGCAGUGGGGAAUAUUGCACAAUGGGCGCAAGCCUGAUGCAGCCAUGCCGCGUGUAUGAAGAAGGCCUUCGGGUUGUAAAGUACUUUCAGCGGGGAGGAAGGGAGUAAAGUU